GACGAACGCUGGCGGCGUGCUUAACACAUGCAAGUCGAGCGGUAAGGCCCUUUCGGGGGUACACGAGCGGCGAACGGGUGAGUAACACGUGGGUGACCUGCCCUCAGCUCUGGGAUAAGCCUGGGAAACCGGGUCUAAUACCGGAUAUGACUCCAUGACGCAUGUUGUGGGGUGGAAAGCCUUGUGCGGCUGAGGAUGGGCCCGCGGCCUAUCAGCUUGUUGGUGGGGUGAUGGCCUACCAAGGCGACGACGGGUAGCCGGCCUGAGAGGGCGACCGGCCACACUGGGGCUGAGACACGGCCCAGACUCCUACGGGAGGCAGCAGUGGGGAAUCUUGCGCAAUGGGCGAAAGCCUGACGCAGCGACGCCGCGUGAGGGAUGACGGCCU
RNAcentral lists this ribosomal RNA (388 nucleotides) under uncultured bacterium. RNAcentral's name for it is "bacterial SSU rRNA". It matches the Rfam family "Bacterial small subunit ribosomal RNA", at positions 28 to 417 of the family's 1533-position model. The record is from RNAcentral.